RNAcentral lists this ribosomal RNA (741 nucleotides) under Triticum aestivum (bread wheat). Its description in RNAcentral is "partial small subunit ribosomal RNA". Lineage: Eukaryota; Viridiplantae; Streptophyta; Magnoliopsida; Poales; Poaceae. The record is from RNAcentral.
AUGGCGGAGGCGAGCCGCAGCCACCCGUCGCAGUACGUGAGGCUGAAGAAGGACCAGGACGCUUCCGCCUCCGGCCCCAGCGUGGAGGACAUCCGCCCUGGCGAGCUCAACCUGCCCGUCGCCGUCCCGCAGCUGGAGCAGAGGAAGUGCUUCGAAUGCGGGCAGGUGCUGCCUGAGAGCCACCGGUCGCCCGCCGACGAGCCGUGGACAACCGGCAUCUUCGGGUGCGCCGAAGACCCCNNNNNNNGCCGGACUGGUCUAUUCUGCCCCUGUGUUUUGUUUGGACGAAAUGUUCAGGCUCUUAGAGAAGAUAUCCCAUGGACAACACCCUGCACUUGCCAUGCUGUCUGUGUUGAAGGUGGCAUUGCAUUGGCAAUCCUUACGGCUAUAUUCCAUGGUGUUGACCCAGACACAUCAGUCCUGAUUGGUGAAGGCCUGGUGUUCGGUUGGUGGUUAUGCUCUAUAUAUACUGGUAAUUUUCGUCUACAGCUUCAGAGGAGGUAUCAUCUCGAGAACUCUCCAUGCCCUCCUGGCAUAGUCCACUGCUGCUUCCCCUGGUGCGCGAACUGUCAGGAGCAUCGUGAAAGGAAAGGCCGCCUCGCAGAAAGCAGUGCUGUUCCAAUGACCAUUGUCAACCCGCCGCCGCUGCAAGAGAUGAGCAUGGUCGAGAACAACGCUCCCACAUCCGAGAAUGAAGCGUCGAAGGCCGAGCAUGAUGAUGUGGAGGUGAUACCUCUCUAG